CUAAUCUUAUAAACUAAUAUGUCAAAAACAUGUUCAAGAUGAUCCUAUGGAGAUGUGAUCCCUCAAUGAGCUGAAAAAGAAUCUUUUAAAGCAAUUUUUGUAUAUAUAUUUGAGAUUGUUGGAGCUUAAAUUCAGAUUUAUAAAACAAAAGUAUAAUGUUUUAAUGAUUCUUGACCCUGUUUUCCCCUGCUGUCAGUUAUACUCUUCUUUCAUCAUCAUCUGAACUUAUGAUUUCCCCAAUUAUUGGGAACCUCUCCA
RNAcentral lists this long non-coding RNA (258 nucleotides) under Gossypium barbadense (sea-island cotton). Its description in RNAcentral is "long non-coding RNA (GBAR_LNC011262)". The record is from RNAcentral. Lineage: Eukaryota; Viridiplantae; Streptophyta; Magnoliopsida; Malvales; Malvaceae.